CAACAUCUCGAAAGGGAUGCUAAUACCGCAUACGUCCUACGGGAGAAAGCAGGGGAUCUUCGGACCUUGCGCUAAUAGAUGAGCCUAAGUCGGAUUAGCUAGUUGGUGGGGUAAAGGCCUACCAAGGCGACGAUCUGUAGCGGGUCUGAGAGGAUGAUCCGCCACACUGGGACUGAGACACGGCCCAGACUCCUACGGGAGGCAGCAGUGGGGAAUAUUGGACAAUGGGGGGAACCCUGAUCCAGCCAUGCCGCGUGUGUGAAGAAGGCCUUAUGGUUGUAAAGCACUUUAAGCGAGGAGGAGGCUACU
This 309-nucleotide ribosomal RNA is filed under the name Acinetobacter baumannii. Its description in RNAcentral is "bacterial SSU rRNA". It matches the Rfam family "Bacterial small subunit ribosomal RNA", at positions 144 to 455 of the family's 1533-position model. Lineage: Bacteria; Pseudomonadati; Pseudomonadota; Gammaproteobacteria; Moraxellales; Moraxellaceae. The record is from RNAcentral.